This 1022-nucleotide long non-coding RNA is filed under the name Canis lupus familiaris (dog). RNAcentral's name for it is "lncRNA (ENSCAFG00030023492.1)". The record is from RNAcentral. Lineage: Eukaryota; Metazoa; Chordata; Mammalia; Carnivora; Canidae.
GGCUCCAGCAUCUCAGCUGUGACGGCUGGGGUCUGCUCCUCGUAGAUACCGAUGCCUGAAACCACUGGGAAGGAGUGGUUCCCUCCCUCAUGAUGUCGAGGAGCACACUGCCUGUCCUGUGUGUAUCAGAAGGCUGGGCUCUUUGGCUCCGUCGCAGCGAUGCUCCUGGAGUCCAGACUCUCAAGGCUGAGAAUCAAGAGGAUACAUGGGCCCCAGCCAAGGCUCCUGACCAGUCAGAGAAGAGAUGGCUGUCUCCAGCCCUCUGGCUAUGGCCUGAAGGGUCAGGGAGCCCAGAUAUGCUCCUGAAGAAUUUCACCACGAGCGUCAACAGUCCAUGUGUUUCAGGAGAGCCUGCUCACGCCCUGCCCAGCAUCUGCUACAGAUUAGGGAUCACUUCCAUGGUUGGCAAAGGCCGUGUGGACAGGUCAGCCUGCGGGAUCCUUAGCCUUGUCAUAGAUAGGCUCCCCAACAGCAGCAGACUCCGAGACGAAGAUUUGGAUCAUGAUGGCUUCCCACAACAAAUACCAACACUCCUCCUAAUUCUGGAAAGCUGGUGGGCCCAGCUGCAGCCCCUUGGCAGCAGAUACCUCCAUGUGCACCUUGCCACCUGGCUGCCCACUUGUGUCAGUGCUGCCGCUGGCUUCCAUUUGGGUUCACGCUGUUCCUUCCAGGUGGCUUUUUCUAUGUGUGUCUCAUCGUGGUGGCCACUGUGGACCCAGCUCUCUCAACCUGUUCCUCAGGGAGCCAGCCUGGGUUGCCAUGUGCUGCAAGAGAAGGCAAAGCUGGGACCGCCUAAGAUCUCACCGCAAAGCUGCAGAUACGCUGACCAGAUGGCAACGCUGAGCUGUGCACAAGACCGAAAUCACCGUGUUCCAAUCCCAGCCUUGAGACAAAGCCAGACUUGCUCAGAUGUUUCCACUCAGGGUUGGGCAAAGAUGCCCCAAAGGCAGACAAUGGCAAAGAAAGGGAACAGCCUCCAGUGGCUGGCAGGGAGAGCUUUAGGCAUCUGCUGUGGGCCUUGA